AAGUCGUAACAAGGUAUCUGUAGGUGAACCUGCAGAUGGAUCAUUUAAGAGUUAAGGGCGCUCGUAAGAGGCCUGCCACUCAUUACAAACACUUGUGCACUUGAAAACGGAGGAAGUUUUCCUUUCGGAAAGCCCCUCAAAUAAAAAACACUUGUAUUAGAAAGUUGAUGAUGUCAAUAAAUAUUGAUAAACGAAAGUAAAACUUUCAGCAACGGAUCUCUUGGCUCUC
RNAcentral lists this unclassified non-coding RNA (229 nucleotides) under air metagenome. RNAcentral describes it as "partial contains small subunit ribosomal RNA, internal transcribed spacer 1, and 5.8S ribosomal RNA". The stretch from base 1 to 46 matches the Rfam family "Eukaryotic small subunit ribosomal RNA", at positions 1786 to 1831 of the family's 1831-position model. The record is from RNAcentral.